RNAcentral lists this ribosomal RNA (883 nucleotides) under uncultured Methanoplanus sp. RNAcentral describes it as "bacterial SSU rRNA". It matches the Rfam family "Archaeal small subunit ribosomal RNA", at positions 18 to 907 of the family's 1478-position model. Lineage: Archaea; Methanobacteriati; Methanobacteriota; Methanomicrobia; Methanomicrobiales; Methanomicrobiaceae. The record is from RNAcentral.
CAGAGGUCACUGCUAUCGGGGUUCGAUUWAGCCAUGCGAGUCGAGAGGGUUCAGACCCUCGGCGGACUGCUCAGUAACACGUGGAUAACCUGCCMUAAGGUGGAGCAUAACCCCGGGAAACUGGGGAUAAUACUCCAUAGGUUAGAGAUACUGGAAUGUUCUUUAAUCGAAAGUUCCGGCGCCUUAGGAUGGAUCUGCGGCCGAUUAGGUAGUUGUUGGGGUAACGGCCCAACAAGCCUGUAAUCGGUACGGGUUGUGGGAGCAAGAGCCCGGAGAUGGAAUCUGAGACACGAUUCCAGGCCCUACGGGGCGCAGCAGGCGCGAAAACUUUACAAUGCAGGAAACUGUGAUAAGGGAACCCCGAGUGCCCGUAUACGCGGGCUGUCCGGGUGUAUAAAAAGCAUCUGAAGAAAGGGCCGGGCAAGACCGGUGCCAGCCGCCGCGGUAAUACCGGCGGCUCGAGUGGUGACCACUUUUAUUGGGCUUAAAGCGUUCGUAGCUGGACUCUUAAGUCUCUUGGGAAAUCCCGCGGCUCAACCGUGGGGCGUUUAAGAGAUACUGGGAGUCUAGGAACCGGGAGAGGUAAGAGGUACUUCGGGGGUAGAAGUGAAAUUCUGUAAUCCUCGAGGGACCACCGAUGGCGAAGGCAUCUUACCAGAACGGCUUCGACAGUGAGGAACGAAAGCUGGGGGAGCGAACGGGAUUAGAUACCCCGGUAGUCCCAGCCGUAAACGAUGCGCGUUAGGUGUACUGGUGACCACGAGUCACUGGGGUGCCGAAAGGGAAACCGUGAAACGUGCCGCCUGGGAAGUACGGUCGCAAGGCUGAAACUUAAAGGAAUUGGCGGGGGAGCACCMYAACGGGUGGAGCCUGCGGUUUAUUG